GGCCACGUGCAAGGCAAACACCCUACCUGCAGUGCGACAUCUGUCACCCCAUUGAUGGCCAGGGUUAAUUUGGCUGAUCUGGCUGUCUAGGUGAAUAUCUCCUUCCUCCCUCACCGCUCCAUGUGCGUCCCUUCCGAAGCUGCAAGCUCAGUCGAAGAGAACAGCCUUCCUCGAAUAGAGAUAGACCAGUCCUUGGUCAAGGGUAUACAAAUAGCUGCACUCCCCUGCUAGAACCUCCAAACAAGCUCUCAAGGUCUAAUUAAUCAUUAAUCAGUUAAUUAAUUAAUUAAUUAAAGAUGACCAGUGGGAUAGCUUUAUCCUGAAAAUCUCUGCUCU
This 336-nucleotide small nuclear RNA is filed under the name Sorex araneus (European shrew). Its description in RNAcentral is "7SK RNA (ENSSARG00000018275.1)". It matches the Rfam family "7SK RNA". From Rfam's summary of the family: 7SK was discovered as an abundant small nuclear RNA in the mid-70s but a possible function has only recently been suggested. Lineage: Eukaryota; Metazoa; Chordata; Mammalia; Eulipotyphla; Soricidae. The record is from RNAcentral.